Molecule: transfer RNA, 74 nt
Filed under: Ricinus communis (castor bean)
Lineage: Eukaryota; Viridiplantae; Streptophyta; Magnoliopsida; Malpighiales; Euphorbiaceae
Rfam family: tRNA
About the family: Transfer RNA (tRNA) molecules are approximately 80 nucleotides in length.
Source: Rfam by way of RNAcentral
AGGAUUGUAGUUCAAGUGGUCAGAGCACCGUCCCGUCAAGGCGGAAGCUGCAGGUUCAAGCCCCGUCAGUCCUG